GGAGAGUCUCCAUCCAGCAGGAUCUCUGUCUCAGAGAAUCCAUCAACCACUCCUCCUCCUUACCAGUAUCUUCCCUACGUGCUCCUGUCUCUUCCAUUUUUCGUUGUUGUGGUUCUGCUGCUGGUUCUGGUUCUGAUCGUGAGACGAUGUGUUCAGAGAAAGUCUGAGGGUGAUCCAGAGGGUGGAGAGAACAACAUUACUUACAGCGACGUUAACAAUUCUCAUCAUCGACGACAGAAAAAC
This is a long non-coding RNA of Fundulus heteroclitus (mummichog), 243 nucleotides long. RefSeq lists it as uncharacterized. The transcript has 3 exons. The record is from RefSeq and is a predicted model, not a curated record. NCBI's taxonomy places the organism in Eukaryota, Metazoa, Chordata, Actinopteri, Cyprinodontiformes, Fundulidae.